GACGAACGCUGGCGGCGUGCUUAACACAUGCAAGUCGAACGGAAAGGCCCUGCUUGCAGGGUACUCGAGUGGCGAACGGGUGAGUAACACGUGGGUGAUCUGCCCUGCACUUCGGGAUAAGCCUGGGAAACUGGGUCUAAUACCGGAUAGGAGCCAUCUUUAGUGUGAUGGUUGGAAAGUUUUUUUCGGUGUAGGAUGAGCUCGCGGCCUAUCAGCUUGUUGGUGGGGUAAUGGCCUACCAAGGCGGCGACGGGUAGCCGGCCUGAGAGGGUGGACGGCCACAUUGGGACUGAGAUACGGCCCAGACUCCUACGGGAGGCAGCAGUGGGGAAUAUUGCACAAUGGGCGCAAGCCUGAUGCAGCGACGCCGCGUGGGGGAUGACGGCCUUCGGGUUGUAAACUCCUUUCGCUAGGGACGAAGCUUUUUGUGACGGUACCUAGAUAAGAAGCACCGGCUAACUACGUG
This 466-nucleotide ribosomal RNA is filed under the name uncultured bacterium. Its description in RNAcentral is "partial 16S ribosomal RNA". It matches the Rfam family "Bacterial small subunit ribosomal RNA", at positions 28 to 507 of the family's 1533-position model. The record is from RNAcentral.